AUACGGAGGGUGCGAGCGUUAAUCGGAAUUACUGGGCGUAAAGCGCACGUAGGCGGUUUGAUAAGUCGGAUGUGAAAGCCCCGGGCUCAACCUGGGAACUGCAUUCGAUACUGUCAGACUAGAGUAUGGUAGAGGGAAGUGGAAUUCCGGGUGUAGCGGUGAAAUGCGUAGAUAUCCGGAGGAACACCAGUGGCGAAGGCGGCUUCCUGGACCAAUACUGACGCUGAGGUGCGAAAGCGUGGGGAGCAAACAGGAUUAGAAACCCCGGUAGUCC
This 274-nucleotide ribosomal RNA is filed under the name uncultured bacterium. RNAcentral describes it as "partial 16S ribosomal RNA". It matches the Rfam family "Bacterial small subunit ribosomal RNA", at positions 523 to 796 of the family's 1533-position model. The record is from RNAcentral.